UAUUUUUUUGAAGACGUUCCUCAAAAUUUUAGUUGACGCCUUUUAAAAUGCCGCAAAUUCUAUAUGCACUCUAUGAAAGCAGACAACACGUUUUCGGCAAUAACUAAUGCCGAGUUUACCGUUUAUGUAGUAGCAUUUGCCUUGGAAUCCCCGAAACGUUCAUUUGGUAGGAUAUGAGAAUAACGUUCGUUCUUUAGAAAUGAUGAGACGUAAUCGUACUCGUUGAUCGUGUCUUAAUGGAACCGUAUUGGAAUUGAAAAGGCUACUACCCCGACAGGCAAAUUUACAAUGUAUAGUCCCCUCCAGGUAUUCGUGCCGCAAAUAAAUUAUUCUACUUGCUUACACUACUUUCAUGAAAUACAGGGGCACAUGGCGUUUGUGUCUGGUUGUUUAUUCGAAUCGUUACGGAACUCGAUACAUACUGGCAUUCUUCGCGAUACGGUUAUAUGAAGUCGUCAUACAUUUGUUCAGUGAGGUUAGGUAUUCGUGCACGUGUCGCGCAUGCGUCGUAUUCAACCACGUGGUUGGUGCGUGUUGUAUGCUACGCAGUAGCAGCUUAAUAAGUAGUCUGGUACUGUUACAAGCAUGCUAUUCAUGCUUGUAUAUAUAUAUAUUGUUUCUUACAUAUUCGGUAAAAGUUAUCUCAGAUAUUUAGCAUUUUACCUUAGAAUCAACAUUUGUCUUCGUUUAAUGUUAUAAAGUCCAAUAAAAGAGCCAAUGUCACAAAGAAAAGGUAAAUGAUCAAUGUCAUUGAAAAAUUUAGUGUUUGCUUUGAAUUUCGUGCUUUAUAACAACAUUCUACAGGCAGUUCUAUAACACUCUAGACAAUGCACGUGUUGUAAAAACACGUACAAGAUCGUGUUACGCACCGUAUGACAAACUAUUCACAUAUUCUAUUUAUAGAAAAUAUCGUGAUUACGAACUAUCGCGUGCAAUACUUUACACGUUGCAGUACUUUCCAAGAUGAUUCAAUCGAGUCAAUUAUAUUAACUUGUUUUUUUGUAUACGUAAAAAUUCAACUUAUGAUAUAAUGUUUUGAAUAAUACAUAAGGGUCUUUGCUCGUAUUGCAUAUUUAUAUCAAGUAUGAUUAAAUAACAAGGUCGAUCGAUAUAUAUAGUUUUCCUUCAGUUGAAAGAAAAAACAGGCUAAUUCAACAGAUGUAACUGAAAUUUCUUCAAUAUAUAAUUUAAUUGUUUAACCGCUAACUUCAUAUUUUGUACGAUGUACUUCUUUGUAGUUAAAUUCUAUACUACCAUCGACAUAACCACGCAAUUAUACACAAUUUUAUUUUGACCUUAUCAUCUACAAUGUUUAAAAUGAAAUCGCUUUUUACAUACUUAAUUAAGGAAAUUACAGCAUUACUCCUAAUUAAGAAAAUUCCAGUUUAAAUAUAUCAUACAAUGUAGUAGAACUGUUUAUUUAAAUAUAUAAAAUUAAAGGUAGGAUUUAAAUAUUUAUAGAUUGUUUAACAUGUAUACAAAAAGUCACUUUAUUUUAAAGCAAUUAUAGUAAUAAUGGGUUUUAUAAAUUGUUAGUUACUAUAUUACAUAUAGCAAUAAAUAUUUUAAAAAGUUGGAAAAAAUAUUCUACAUUAUUUUCACAGUAAUAAAGUGUAAUCUACUUCUAUUUUAUAUACAUAUUUAUACAAACUUAUGCAUGUACAGAAUAAAGAAUAUGCUUAUUAAUAAAUAUAACAUUCUUUGUAAAAAUUUAAUAUUACAAUCUUUAAGUAUUGAGUUGGAAAUGAGAUAGUGUGCAAUUAGUCGUUCCCCUGCAUUACAAUUUUCUCGUUGCUGUUGUUUGAUACUUAAAAAAGAAAGAAAAAAGAAGAAACGUUUAUAGAAACUAUAGCUUAUCUUCUUUUAACAUCACAGAAAAAUUGGUUUUAAUUACUGAUGCUUUCGCUAAAUUAAAGUGCAAUAUAUUUACCAAUAGAAUAUGUCAAGAAGCAAACAAUAUUGUUAUACUUUGAAUCAUACAUUAUUCUCUAAAAUAACUGUUCAGAAGUAUUAACAAUUUUUUCCCUUUAAUCUUAUCAGGCUUGCACUAUUCUUACACAUUCUUUAUCAACAUGUACACUUUAGCGAAUAGUAACUUAAAAGAAAAUUACACUAUAAAAUUUCUUAUAAGCAUACACAAAACUUGUAUUAUGAGUAAUGUGUUUGUUUUAAAUAAUAUGUAUACAAUAAUUACCUAACUUGUAGUCCUAUAAAUAUAUCAUGUAUAUUUUUAAUGUAUUGUAUAUCAACGAAAAUUGCACACUAUUAAUUAUGCAUUUGUGUAUUUUUUAUAAGAAGUUGAAUUUUAUACAAUAAUUUUCAUAUAAGUAAUAUGAGAAAAUAUUAACUAUCUUUUUUUUAUAAACAAGAAUUAUUCAGAUGUAGUACUUAAUAUAAUUUGAAAUGUAACUUAAACAUACAUAUUCACAAAAAUUUAUAUAUAUUCUUGAAAAAAUAAAUUUUUGCAACAAUUUUCAAUUCAUUCAUAUACGUAUUUCACAUUGUUUGCGUUUUCUGAAUUUAUCAAAGUAUUGUAUACUUGAUUAUUUAUUAAAUAAAUGUUCUUAAAAGAUCUUUACUUUUAUUUCAAAAAUAUUUUGAAGUGCAUAUUUUUCUUUGUUAAUACUGUGUUAGAUUUAAUAAUUUUUACCAUAAGUAAUUCUUAUUCAAAUUAUAACAUUAUGUAAGAAUUCCUUAAAAUAUAUUUAGUAUUCUUUCUAUUUAGAUGUAAUGCAGAUUUUUCUUUUCAAAUUUACAAUAUAUUUAAAGAAUGCCAAUCUAUAGAAAACUUUCAAAUUUCUCUAAUUUAACACAUACUUAAAGAAACAUUAAAUACAUUAACUUAAAUGUUUUGCAUAAAAGAUAUGACUAAAUUUUUAGAAUAAAUUUUAAAUAUGUUAUAAGUAUAAUAGUUCACAAAUUUUUCCUUGGUCACAUCAGUAUCUUACAUUAAUUAAAGUUUAAAAAUAUUUGAUUCAAAUAUAAUAUAGGGUGUGUUACUAGAAUCAACAACUAGGAUUUCUGUUUAUAUAAAGUAAAACAAUUCAACAUCUGAGACUAUGAACUACUAGCUAUACCUGAUUAGAUCUCCUACUUCUACGAGAAGAACUUGAAAAUAAUGGACGUGGUUUGUAUAAGUCAUCACUUGAAUAACGUUGACUGCUUCUAUGCCGG
Long non-coding RNA from Bombus pyrosoma, 3174 nucleotides. RefSeq lists it as uncharacterized. The transcript is spliced from 2 exons. The record is from RefSeq and is a predicted model, not a curated record. NCBI's taxonomy places the organism in Eukaryota, Metazoa, Arthropoda, Insecta, Hymenoptera, Apidae.